GGUACUAGGACAAGGGGCGAGGCCCAGGGGCUAUCAGACGGCACUAUGACCCCUAGUCUCAACAUCUCCUGGAUUUCCUUCCACAUCUCCUCCUUUACUGCCUCAGGGAUUCUGUAGGGGGUCUGCCUAAGAGGGUUUUGUCCUUGUGUCUCUACGUAAUGAGUCACUAGCGGGGUGUAUCCUGGUUCCUGGGAAAACAUUAAC
Non-coding RNA from Pelobates cultripes (western spadefoot toad), 204 nucleotides. The record is from the annotation of a GenBank genome assembly. Lineage: Eukaryota; Metazoa; Chordata; Amphibia; Anura; Pelobatidae.